Molecule: long non-coding RNA, 363 nt
Organism: Oncorhynchus masou masou (cherry salmon)
Lineage: Eukaryota; Metazoa; Chordata; Actinopteri; Salmoniformes; Salmonidae
Exons: 3
Source: RefSeq, a predicted model, not a curated record
CCCCAGACCCGUCUCUCCUCUCCACCACCGCAGCCCUCUUCCUCACCGCCCUGGUCAUGAUUCUGGGAGAGGUGUUCUCCAGGAGAAUCAGGAGGACGAUCUGCUCGUCCUUCUACAGAGACAGAGAGGAGGAACGAGCCUUGUACCUGCGGGACAAGAUUCUAUUAAAGCUGGAGGAUGAGGGAAAUAUUUCCUAGAUCGAUAAACUGGAAGGCGGAUCAGACCAUACACCUCGGGAACAAGAUUCUACUGCAGACCAACGAUGACUAGAAAUGAACAAGAUUCUACUGCAGACCAACGAUGACUAGAAAUGAACAAGAUUCUACUGCAGACCAACGAUGACUGGAAAUGAACAAGAUUCUA